This is a long non-coding RNA of Ornithodoros turicata, 374 nucleotides long. RefSeq lists it as uncharacterized. The transcript has 4 exons. NCBI's taxonomy places the organism in Eukaryota, Metazoa, Arthropoda, Arachnida, Ixodida, Argasidae. The record is from RefSeq and is a predicted model, not a curated record.
AGCAUCAUCGGAAUGUCGUUGAACGGUUGCAACAUGUUUGAACGGUCUCCGCGCUCGCUCGUCCAUUUGUGAACAAAAGAGGCCGUGAUUUUGCGUCGUAUGGGCGGCUGCAGUCUUGCGUCCCGUCAGGCUCUACUUUGUUGAACACUAAGCUGGACACAUAUCUCUCCAGCGCUUCAGAGACGUCGCUGGCGCCGAAAUUCCAGCUGUUUCACCGUGGGUCGCCAGAAGUACAGCAGAUCAUUUACUGUCAAUUGUGCGACGCGACACUAUGUGGCACGAAGGAUGUGUACGUAUGAAAUACGUAACUACUGUGUGCGCGGGAUGUUUUGUAUGAUUGUGUCGACACUGGAUACCACUUUCAAGGUAUGCAU